Molecule: ribosomal RNA, 559 nt
Filed under: uncultured bacterium
Lineage: Bacteria
Description: bacterial SSU rRNA
Rfam family: Bacterial small subunit ribosomal RNA
Source: RNAcentral
CGGAACGUGCCCAAUCGUGGGGGAUAACGCAGCGAAAGCUGUGCUAAUACCGCAUACGAUCUACGGAUGAAAGCAGGGGACCGCAAGGCCUUGCGCGAGUGGAGCGGCCGAUGGCAGAUUAGGUAGUUGGUGGGGUAAAGGCUCACCAAGCCAACGAUCUGUAGCUGGUCUGAGAGGACGACCAGCCACACUGGGACUGAGACACGGCCCAGACUCCUACGGGAGGCAGCAGUGGGGAAUUUUGGACAAUGGGCGAAAGCCUGAUCCAGCAAUGCCGCGUGCAGGAUGAAGGCCUUCGGGUUGUAAACUGCUUUUGUACGGAACGAAACGGCCUUUUCUAAUAAAGAGGGCUAAUGACGGUACCGUAAGAAUAAGCACCGGCUAACUACGUGCCAGCAGCCGCGGUAAUACGUAGGGUGCAAGCGUUAAUCGGAAUUACUGGGCGUAAAGCGUGCGCAGGCGGUUAUGUAAGACAGUUGUGAAAUCCCCGGGCUCAACCUGGGAAUUGCAUCUGUGACUGCAUAGCUAGAGUACGGUAGAGGGGGAUGGAAUUCCGCGU